UACAGAGGUCUCAAGCGUUGUUCGGAUUCAUUGGGCGUAAAGGGUGCGUAGGAGGGCAGGUAAGUCAGUGGUGAAAUCCCCGAGCUUAACUUGGGAACUGCCGUUGAUACUAUCUGUCUUGAAUAUUGUGGAGGUAAGCGGAAUAUGUCAUGUAGCGGUGAAAUGCUUAGAUAUGACAUAGAACACCAAUUGCGAAGGCAGCUUGCUACACAACUAUUGACUCUGAUGCACGAAAGCGUGGGGAUCAAACAGG
This 253-nucleotide ribosomal RNA is filed under the name uncultured bacterium. Its description in RNAcentral is "partial 16S ribosomal RNA". It matches the Rfam family "Bacterial small subunit ribosomal RNA", at positions 524 to 776 of the family's 1533-position model. The record is from RNAcentral.